Long non-coding RNA from Tachysurus vachellii, 4351 nucleotides. RefSeq lists it as uncharacterized. The transcript has 2 exons. The record is from RefSeq and is a predicted model, not a curated record. Lineage: Eukaryota; Metazoa; Chordata; Actinopteri; Siluriformes; Bagridae.
UCAGUGACCAGCUACAUCGGAAACAUGUAGCUGGUCCAAUGUUGUUUUGAGUGAACCCUUGGUAUCUCUAACUGACCUGAUCCUAAUGAUCUGAGUAGUCUGCUUGGUUUAUAUUCAGUUAGCAUAUCUGUAAUGUAUUUCGGUCCUAAGCCAUGAAGUGAUUUAUAAACGAGUAACAAUACUUUAAAAUCUAUUAUAAAUGUAACUGGAAGCCAGUGUAAGGACCUGAGGACUGGAGUGAUGUGCUCAGAUUUUUUGGUUCUGGUCAGAAUUCUGGCAGCAGCGUUCUGUAUGAGCUGCAGCUGUCUAAUGGUCUUUUUUGGGGAUCCCAGUAAGGAGUCCAUUGCAAUAAUCCACCCUGCUGUCUUGAGACAAAACAUCUAAUUCUGGCUGUAUUUCUGAGAUGGUAGUAAGCUGAUUUGCUUAUCGCUUUCACAUGAUUACUGAAAUUAAGGUCAGUCUCUAAAAUUACACCAAGAUUUCUGACUUUAUUUUGUGUCUUUAGACCACUAGAGUCAAGGUGUGUGUUAACCUUGAGAGUUUCAUCUUUAUUUCCGAAUACAAUGACUUCGGUUUUGUCUUUGUUUAACUGGAGGAAGUUUUGAUGCAUCCAACUGUUAAUUUCAUCAAUGCACUUACAUAGAGAGUCAAUGGGGCUGUAGUCAUUAGGGGACAGGGCUAAGUAUAUCUGGGUGUCAUCUGCAUAGCUGUGGUAAGCAAUUUGGUUCUUUUUCAUUAUUUGACCAAUUGGGAGCAUAUACAAAUUAAAGAGAAGCAGUGCAAGAAUUGAGCCAUGUGGGACUCCACAUGUCAUGGAUGUCCACUCAGAUUUAUGGUUACCUAUGUUCACAUAGUAACCUCUCCCUUUUAGGUAUGAUUUAAACCAUUUGAGGACCAUCCCAGAAAGCCCUACCCAGUUUUCCAGUCUAUGUAAGAGUAUGGUGUGAUCUACCGUGUCAAAGGCAGCACUAAGAUCUAGUAGCACCAGCACUGAUAUUUUACCUGAAUCAGAGUUUAAGCGAAUAUCAUUUAUUAUCUUUAAGAGCACUGUCUCUGUGCUGUGAUGCUGGCGGAAACCAGAUUGAAAAUUGUCCAGAUAGCCAUUUGAGUUUAAGAAUUUGUUCAGCUGAUUGAAAACAACCUUUUCAAUGAUCUUGCCUAUAAAAGGAAGAUUUGAGAUUGGUCUGUAGUUGUUAAGUAUGGUUUUGUCUAGGUUACUCUUUUUUAGGAGAGGCUUAACAACUGCCGUUUUUAGGGACUCUGGAAAAGUGCCUGUGAGCAGAGAGGUAUUUACUAUUUUUAAGAGGUCAGUUUCUAAGCAGUUAAGUACCUUUUUUGAGAAAGGAUGUGGGGAGGGUGUCAAGGCUGCAAGUUGAUGCUUUAAGAUGUUGUACUGUUUCUUCCAAGGUUUUUAUAUCAAUUAUGUCAAAUUCUGAGAAAAUGACAAAUUUCUGAGGUUGUUGUAAUGAGGUCUGACUGACCACAUUACAAUAUGAGGCCGUAUUUAUUGCCAUUCUGAUAUUACUGAUUUUCUCAGAGAAAAAGGUUGCAAACUCAUUGCAUUUGUUGUCAGAGAGCAUUUCACUAGGAACUUGAUUUGGGGGGUUUGUUAGUCUCUCUACAGUAGCAAAAAGAGUGCGAGUGUUGUUUAUGUUGUUGUUUAUAAUGUUUGAGAAGAAGAUCUGUCUAGCUGUGCCUAGUUCUACAUUGAAAGCACGAGGACUGUCCUUAUAGAUGCUAUAAUGUACUUCAAGUUUUGUUUUCCGCCACAUACGUUUAGCUUUUCUGCAUGUUCUUUUCGUGCUCUGUACAGCUGUUGUUUUUCUCCAAGGUGCUUUACGUCUGCCAGUGAUCAUCCUGACCUUUACUGGAGCUAUACCAUCAAUAGCAUCUUUAACUUUUAAUUUAAAAUUUUCAAGGAGAACAUCAACAGAGUCUGCCGAUAUGUUUGGCAACAUUGAUAUAGCAUUCAUAAAUACCUCACUGGUGUUUUCAUUUAUGAACCUUUUUUUGACAUAGACAGAUCUAUCAUCAGUGGCAGGACAGAUCAAUAAAUCAAAGUAAACACAGAAAUGGUCAGAUAGCGCUUCAUCCUUGAUAACAGUGGAUGAAAUGUUUAGACCCUUACUAAUGAGCAGAUCAAGAGUGUGUCCCCUAUUGUGUGUAGGACCUUGCACGUGCUGGGUCAGAUCAAAAGUGUUUAAAACAUUUAAAAGUUCAAUUGCAGUAUUGUUUUCUGCAUUGUCUAUAUGAAUGUUGAAAUCUCCAGCAAUAACAAAAUAAUCAAAUUCAGAGGAGAUUGUUGAUAAAAGUUCUGUGAAUUCAUCAACAAAUGUUGGGGUGUAUUUGGGAAGCCUAUAAAUAACUGUAAACAGAAUGCGUGGUGUACCUUUUAGAGCAAUACACAAAUAUUCAAAAGACUGGUAAUCACCAAGUAACACUUGCUUGCAUUGAAACGCAUCUUUGAAUAAAGCAGCUAUUCCUCCACCUCUUCUAACAGCUCUACAGACACUUAUAAAAGUAAAGUUGGGUGGGGCUGAUUCAUUGAGGACUGUAGCGCUGCAGCUGUCAUCUAACCAGGUUUCAUUUAGAAACAUGAAGUCCAGGUUGUUAGUGGUGAUAAGAUCAUUAACUAAAAAUGAUUUGUUCUUUAAUGAACGGAUGUUCAGAAGUGCUAAUUUAACAGUAACUGGUUUUGGCCCUGUAUCCAUCUCAGAAUGACGUCUAAUAGGCAGUAGAUUAGAUAGAAUUGUCGUGCGGCUGGAGAGGGCCUUCACAUAUCAGGACAGAGAUAGGGAAAGCUAAAGGGACAUUGGGCUCCCGCGUGUUCUGAAAACAUUUCUGAUUGUUACUGCUGUCAUAGCGGGGACCCAACACAUAUCAGUUACCAGUGCUGUUUGCAGAUGAGGGCUGGUGUGAUCCCUGACGUUGAGGCAGAGGUCGGAGUGCUCUCUCAGAUGGAGGGGGAGGGCAGGCUGGGCCCGGAGGCUUUGGUGGUUGUGGAGCCCGCCGUUUCUUGGUUGAUAUUUGGGGACUCGCAGCAAUAGAAGUUCCAGCAGAUACCAGUUUCUCCAUUUUCUCUGAAAAGCACAGAAGUGGUGAUGUUGGAGAGAAGGAGAGAGAGUGUGACAACAUCAGCUGUGAUUCUGGUGUUCCUGGAGGCUGGGGAGUGUUAUCUUGUUUUUCCUGGUUGUUAUCCACAGAAACGUCCUUGGGUGUUGAUUCACCAUCCAGCUGUAGUGAGGACUGUGGGCAGUUUAAAAUAUUAACAUUUUAAACUACAGAAAGAACAAAAUGGAGUAGAUAAAUUCAACUCAUGCGGUAUAUUUAAACAUUGUCCAUUGUUAGAGUGAGAACAAAGUAAAAUAGAAACAUUUAAACUACAAAAUGGAUAAGCCUGAUAUAACUCAUAUGGUUUAAUUAAACACUGUCCAGUUUAUGACUGAAGAGAAAAAAAGAAAGAGAAUCAUUUAAACUUCAAAAAGAACAACAUGGAGUAGUCUGAUACAAAAAAGUACAGGAAUAAAAUGACUGUCAGAGUAUUCCUUUGGCCUCUUCCUACUUUAAUUAGGUAAGGCAAGUUUUUCUUUAUAAAGAUGAGUUUUUCAGCAUUUUGUGAAGACAGUCUAUUCCUCUUUUCAUCCAAAAUGUGUGCCGCUGUACUGAAUAGCCGCUCACUAUCAACACUUGUCGAUGGAGCACUAAGAUAGACUCGUGCUACCUCUGCCAAAGCUGGGAACCGGCCUUUGUUCCUCUUCCAGAAGUCCAGGGGAUCUGAGGACCUUGAGAUAACAGGCUCAGAGAGGUACAGAUUAAUCUCCGCUGCUGCUGAAUCAGUUUUGUUGUAAGCAUCACUGUAACUGGUGGUGUUGAUAAUUUCAUUGUGCAUCUGCUGCAGAGAACUAGAUGGAGGAGCUUCUGGUUUAGCCACAGUUUCUUCAGUUCCAAUCUUCUGAAGUCCCUCCCUCACUGGUGCAUCCAGUGCUUCACUGAGCAGUUUGUGCCUCUGGUUUGAUCUGAUCAUCAAAAUAUCUAUCCUUGUACCUUGUUUUGAGAGAGAGAAAAUAACUAUCAUUGCUAAAUUUCAAUUAUAUUAGCCUAAAAAUUAUAAAAUACUAUUUUUAAUUUAAUACUUUCACACAAUACAAACACAUUUGCCACAAACAAAGCCUUUUUUACUUGACAUGUUCAAUACCAUAAGUAUAUGUCUAAGUCUUAGUCAACAAUCAGGGUAUACCCUGCCUGUGUAAACCCAGCUAAAGUCAUUCAUGUACUGUUUUCUACAUAAAAUCAUUCUAUAUAACUACAUAAUGUAAUUUAAUGUUAAAAUGUGAAAUAUAAACUUGAUAUA